AUACGGAGGAUGCAAGCGUUAUCCGGAUUUAUUGGGUUUAAAGUGUGCGUAGGCGGAUGAUUAAGCGUGAGGUGAAAUGCCACUGCUCAACAGUGGAACUGCCUCGCGAACUGGUUGUCUUGAAUGCUCCUGCCGUGGGAGGAAUGUGUGGUGUAGCGGUGAAAUGCAUAGAGAUCACACAGAACACCGAUUGCGAAGGCAUCUCACGAAGGGGUGAUUGACGCUGAGGCACGAAAGCGUGGGGAUCAAACAGGAUUAGAUACCCUGGUAGUCCACGCAGUAAACGAUGAUAACUAACCGCUGGGUCGUAGUGAUUCAGUGGCCAAGCGAAAGCGAUAAGUUAUCCACCUGGGGAGUACGACCGCAAGGUUGAAACUUAAAGGAAUUGGCGGGG
RNAcentral lists this ribosomal RNA (394 nucleotides) under uncultured bacterium. RNAcentral's name for it is "partial 16S ribosomal RNA". It matches the Rfam family "Bacterial small subunit ribosomal RNA", at positions 523 to 918 of the family's 1533-position model. The record is from RNAcentral.